GGAUCAUUGUCGAAAUCGAACGGAAGAACGACCCGCGAAUCGUCAUUGCGUAAUAGACAGAGCCCGUGAGCACCUAACGCUCACGGGUCUCGCGUCGCGUCGGCGCGGGUGUACUGGAGACCCGCGUCGUACCGGCGGACAAACAACGUCAGCACGGAUCGUGCCAAGGAAAUGCAUGGAGAGAAUCGUCGUCCCACGCCUUUGAUAGUCCUCGACGCGGGACGGGGGAUGUACGCAAUCUCUACUCAAGUCUAAACGACUCUCGGCAACGGAUAUCUCGGCUCUUGCAUCGAUGAAGAACGUAGCGAAAUGCGAUACUUGGUGUGAAUUGCAGAAUCCCGUGAACCAUCAAUUCUUUGAACGCAAGUUGCGCCCGAAGCCAUUCGGCCGAGGGCACGCCUGCCUGGGCGUCGUGAAUCCCCUUGCCCCUAGGCACCCGCAUGAGCAUUGGCGGGGAUAUAUGCUCGGGCGCAGAAUAUGGUCUCCCGUGGGAUCGGCAUGCACGGCAUGCCGAGGUGCGGUUGGCCGAAAAUCGAGCAUGGCGGUGACGGGCACCACGGCGUUCGGUGGAUCGAACGAGAUUGGCUGCGUCGUGGGCUCGGCAUGCGGCGGGCUCCGGACUUUUAAUAUCCCCGAGUGCGAUCCCAGGUCAGGCGGGGCUACCCGCUGAGUUUAAGCAUAUCAAUAAGCGGAGGAAAAGAAACUAACGAGGAUUCCCUUAGUAGCGGC
This 729-nucleotide ribosomal RNA is filed under the name Miconia friedmaniorum. Its description in RNAcentral is "eukaryotic LSU rRNA". The stretch from base 258 to 413 matches the Rfam family "5.8S ribosomal RNA". The record is from RNAcentral. Lineage: Eukaryota; Viridiplantae; Streptophyta; Magnoliopsida; Myrtales; Melastomataceae.